This 465-nucleotide ribosomal RNA is filed under the name uncultured bacterium. Its description in RNAcentral is "partial 16S ribosomal RNA". It matches the Rfam family "Bacterial small subunit ribosomal RNA", at positions 338 to 795 of the family's 1533-position model. The record is from RNAcentral.
CCUACGGGUGGCAGCAGUGGGGAAUAUUGCUCAAUGGGCGAAAGCCUGACGCAGCGACGCCGCGUGAGGGAUGAAGGUCUUCGGAUCGUAAACCUCUUUUAGCAGGGAAGAACGGGCAGUGUGCUAAUCAGCAGUGAAUUGACGGUACCUGCAAAGGAAGCACCGGCUAACUCCGUGCCAGCAGCCGCGGUAAUACGGAGGGUGCGAGCGUUAAUCGGAAUUACUGGGGGUAAAGGGCGCGUAGGCGGUAUGUCAAGUCAAGGGUGAAAGCCCCGCGCUCAACGUGGGAACUGCCUUUGAAACUGGCAGACUGGAGUGUGUGAGAGGAUAGUGGAAUUCGAGGUGUAGGAGUGAAAUCCGUAGAUAUCUGGAGGAACACCAGUGGCGAAGGCGACUAACUGGCACAUAACUGACGCUGAGGAGCGAAAGCGUGGGUAGCAAACAGGAUUAGAUACCCGUGUAGUC